AUUGAACGCUGGCGGCAGGCCUAACACAUGCAAGUCGAACGGUAACAGGAAACAGCUUGCUGUUUCGCUGACGAGUGGCGGACGGGUGAGUAAUGUCUGGGAAACUGCCUGAUGGAGGGGGAUAACUACUGGAAACGGUAGCUAAUACCGCAUAACGUCGCAAGACCAAAGAGGGGGACCUUCGGGCCUCUUGCCAUCGGAUGUGCCCAGAUGGGAUUAGCUAGUAGGUGGGGUAACGGCUCACCUAGGCGACGAUCCCUAGCUGGUCUGAGAGGAUGACCAGCCGCACUGGAACUGAGACACGGUCCAGACUCCUACGGGAGGCAGCAGUGGGGAAUAUUGCACAAUGGGCGCAAGCCUGAUGCAGCCAUGCCGCGUGUAUGAAGAAGGCCUUCGGGUUGUAAAGUACUUUCAGCGGGGAUGAAGGGAGUAAAGUUAAUACCUUUGCUCAUUGACGUUACCCGCAGAAGAAGCACCGGCUAACUCCGCG
RNAcentral lists this ribosomal RNA (490 nucleotides) under uncultured bacterium. Its description in RNAcentral is "partial 16S ribosomal RNA". It matches the Rfam family "Bacterial small subunit ribosomal RNA", at positions 30 to 507 of the family's 1533-position model. The record is from RNAcentral.